Molecule: ribosomal RNA, 254 nt
Filed under: uncultured bacterium
Lineage: Bacteria
Description: partial 16S ribosomal RNA
Rfam family: Bacterial small subunit ribosomal RNA
Source: RNAcentral
UACGUAGGGUGCAAGCGUUGUCCGGAAUUAUUGGGCGUAAAGAGCUCGUAGGUGGCCUGUCGCGUCGGCUGUGAAAACUCGGGGCUCAACUCCGAGCUUGCAGUCGAUACGGGCAGGCUAGAGUUCGGCAGGGGAGACUGGAAUUCCUGGUGUAGCGGUGAAAUGCGCAGAUAUCAGGAGGAACACCGGUGGCGAAGGCGGUUCUCUGGGCAUGUCCUGACGCUGAGGAGCGAAAGUGUGGGGAGCGAACAGGA